AGAGUUUGAUCCUGGCUCAGAGCGAACGUUAGCGGCGGGCCUAACACAUGCAAGUCGUACGAGAAAGUUCUUCGGAACCGGUAUAGUGGCGCACGGGUGAGUAACACGUAGGUAAUUUACCCUCGGGCGGGGGACAACUUUUCGAAAGAGAAGCUAAUACCGCAUAAGACCACGGCAUCUGCGGAUGCAGUGGGAAAAGAUGGCCUCUUCUUGAAAGCUAUCACCGGAGGAUAAGCCUGCGUCCCAUCAGCUUGUUGGUAAGGUAACGGCUUACCAAGGCGAAGACGGGUAGCUGGUCUGAGAGGAUGAUCAGCCACACUGGUACUGGAACACGGACCAGACUCCCACGGGAGGCAGCAGUGAGGAAUAUUGGGCAAUGGGCGCAAGCCUGACCCAGCCACGCCGCGUGAGUGAUGAAGGCCUUCGGGUUGUAAAGCUCUGUGGGGAAGGAAGAAAAGUCGGGGUAUAAUACACCCCGGCCUUGACGGUACUUCUUUAGCAAGCACCGGCUAUCUCUGUGCCAGCAGCCGCGGUAAUACAGAGGGUGCAAACGUUGCUCGGAAUUACUGGGCGUAAAGGCGUGUAGGCGGCCUUGUAGGUCGGGUGUGAAAGCCCGGGGCUCAACCCCGGAAGGGCAUUCGAAACCACAAGGCUGGAGUAUCGGAGAGGGGGGCGGAAUUCUGGGUGUAGAGGUGAAAUUCGUAGAUAUCCAGAGGAACACCGGUGGCGAAGGCGGCCACCUGGACGAUUACUGACGCUGAGACGCGAAAGUGUGGGGAGCAAACAGGAUUAGAUACCCUGGUAGUCCACACCGUAAACGAUGAGCGCUAGGUGUCGCGGGUAUUGACCCCUGCGGUGCCGUAGCUAACGCAUUAAGCGCUCCGCCUGGGGAGUACGGCCGCAAGGCUAAAACUCAAAGGAAUUGACGGGGGCCCGCACAAGCGGUGGAGCAUGUGGUUUAAUUCGACCCAACGCGCAGAACCUUACCUGGGCUAGAAAAGGCAGGAAUCUGGCAGAAACGCCGGCGUGCUCGCAAGAGAGCUCCUGUCCAGGUGCUGCAUGGCUGUCGUCAGCUCGUGUCGUGAGAUGUUGGGUUAAGUCCCGCAACGAGCGCAACCCCUAUCCUUAGUUGCUAGCAGUUUGGCUGAGCAUUCUAAGGAGACUGCCGGCGUUAAGCCGGAGGAAGGUGGGGAUGACGUCAAGUCCUCAUGGCCCUUAUGUCCGGGGCUACACACGUGCUACAAUGGUCGGUACAAAGUGUUGCGAACCCGCGAGGGGGAGCUAAUCGCAAAAAGCCGGCCUCAGUACGGAUUGCAGUCUGCAACUCGACUGCAUGAAGUCGGAAUCGCUAGUAAUCGCUGAUCAGCAGGCAGCGGUGAAUACGUUCCCGGGCCUUGUACACACCGCCCGUCACACCAUGGGAGUCGAGUGCUCCAGAAGUGGCUGUGCUAACCCGCAAGGGAGGCAGGUCCCCAAGGAGUGCUUGGUAACUGGGGUGAAGUCGUAACAAGGUAACC
This 1517-nucleotide ribosomal RNA is filed under the name uncultured prokaryote. RNAcentral describes it as "partial 16S ribosomal RNA". It matches the Rfam family "Bacterial small subunit ribosomal RNA". The record is from RNAcentral.